CUGUAAUCCCAGCACUUUGGGAGGCUGAGGUAGGAAGAUCGCUUGAACUCAGGAAUUCAAGCCAACCUGGGCAACAUAGCAAGACCUCACCUCCACUAAAGGGAAAAAACAAUCCAUGUUCCUUUUCUUCCAACCCAACAGAUCUGUGGCUGGGCAGCAGCUGCUGAGCUCAACUACAAUUCCAGCCUGCUUUACAGUUAGGCUUGUCCACAGGACCAAGUUCUCAGUGACAGAGUAAGAGCAGGCCUGUGAUAGGAGCCUCUUCUGUACCUCGGCCUCCAAGCUGCCUAGAAUCUGGCUGUGGCAGUGCCCAAGGGGAGGCGAGCAGCAGGAGAGAAGGGUCCUGGGGUUUGGGGGGACCAGGAGGAGCAGAGCUGCUGCUCAGCUCAGAUCCAUAACCUGAGAAAGAAAGAGGGAUGGCACAUUUUAUGUGUUAACUUAAAUAUCUGGCUACAUCGCUCAGAUAUUUGAUUAGACACUAUUCUAGAUGUUUUUAUGAAGGUAUUGAUUAAUUGAUUGAUUGAUUGAGACAGUCUCACUCUGUUGCCCAGGCUGGAGUGCGGUGGCACAAUCUUGGCUCACUGCAACCUCCACCUCCCAGGUUCAAGUGAUUCUCGUGCCUCAGCCUCCCAAGUAGCUGGGAUUACAGGCAUGUGCCACCAUGCCUGGCUAAUUUUUGUAUUUUUAGUAGAGAUGGGGUUUCACCAUGUUGGCCAGGCUGGUCUCCUGACCUGAAGUGAUCUGCCCACCUUGGCUUCCCAAAGUGCUGGGAUUACAGGCCUGAGCUACCACAACCGGUGAAAGUACUUUUUAAGAUAAGAUUAGCAUUUAAAUCAGAAGAUUUUGAGUAAAGCAGAUUAUUCUCCACAAUGUGGGCAGAUCUCAUCCCAUCAGUUGAAGACCUUAAGAGAAAAGAGACUGACCUGCUCUGAGCAAGGAGGAAUUCUGCUGGCCAACUGCUUGUGAACUCCAACUUGUAAUAUCGGUCUCCAGCCUACCGGCUUACUCUGCAGAUUUUGGAUUUGCCAAGCCUCCACAACCGCAGAAGCCAAUUCCUUAAAAUGAAUCCCUUACAACAGUUCCCUAAAAUAAAUUCUUCAAAAUUCCUUAAAAUAAAUGUGUGUGCAUGUGUGUCUGUGUAUAUAUAUAGCCUAUGUAAUGUCUAAUAUAGAUCUAUAAUAUAUAUUAGAUAAAUAUACACAUACUUAUCAUAUAUAUAUGUGUGUGUGUGUGUGUGUUUCUCCUAUUGGUUCUGUUCUCUGGAGAACCUAAUACAGAAACAAAUCUGUUUAUUCUUCUAGCCUCUGUAUCAUCAGGCCUCUUUGUUAGAGCAGGUGAGCUUUACCCUAACUAAUUCAGAGGUUGAUUCGUUUUCAUGCAUGUAGAUACUUGUCAUUUAGCUUCUAUUAUCUGCCUGUAUUUUAAGGUUCUUUGUCUUAAAAUGUUAUGACUCCAGGAAUGUUAUAUAUUAAGUAUAUUAACCUUUUGACUAUUAUAUAUCUUGCAAACAUCUUGUAAUCAGUCACUUGUCUCUUUAUUUUAUUUGGAGCGGCUUUCAACCUAGAGCAGUGGUCCCCAAACCCGGGGCUGCAGACUAUUCCCUGUCUGUGGUUUGUUAAGAACCAGGCUACAUAGCAGAAGAUGAGUAGCAGGCGCGGGAGCAUGACCACCUGAGCUCCGCCUCCUGUCAGACCAGCAGCGACAUUAGAUUCUCAUAGGAGCACAAACCCUACUGUGAACUGUGCGUAUGAGGGAUCUAGGUUGCACAUUCCUUAAAAGACUCUUAAUGCCUGAUGAUCUGAGGUGGAACAGGUUCACCCUGAAACCAUCCCCCGCUCAGCCUGUGUCUGUGGAAAAAUUGUCUUCCAUGAAACUGGUCCCUGGUGCCAAAAAGGCUGGGGACUGCUGACCUACAAGAUAUAUUAGUUAUGACUCUUGGUGCAUACUCUUGACAGAAAUCCCACUCAACCUAGUAUAAUGCAGAGGACAGUUCACGGAGCAACUCAAAUAAUUGCCACUUUUACAAUAUUGAAGCUUCCUACGGGAAACAUAAUACAUCUCUCAAUUUAUGUCCUUUAAUACGAUUAAACAUUUUUCUUCAUGUAGGUUCUCCAGAAUUUUGGUUAUGCCUAUGCCUAGAUUAUUUAUGAUUGUUGUUGGUAUUGCAAAUGUCCUCUCCUAUUGAUUAUUUAAUGGUAUCUAUGGAAAGUAUUGAUUUUUGUGUAUUUGCUCUGUGCCCACUUGCCAUCUAACUGGUUGUUAUAUUUUAUUGAACCUUUCAAAGGAUAUGAAUUAUGCUGAUUUUAAUGUCUUCUUCUGAUUCCUGCAUUAUUAUCCUGUUUUCUCCAGCGUUCUGUCUACUUCUUCUGCAGGCUGUUGGUUUCCUUCAAAUGUCUGGGGAUUUUUGAUUGUCUGAUCCCAUUUGUAAAUGAACGUCCAGAGAGUGGUUUUCAAAGUGAGAUCCAUGGACCCCUAAGGGUUCUUAAGACUCUUUCUGGGUGUCUGCAAAGCCAAAACUAUUUAAUAGGAAUAAAAAAGACUUGUUUUUCCUAAUGGGUGUUCAGGUGCUCACUUCAGCAGCACAUAUACAAAUGGGUGUUCAGUGGAGUUUUCCAGAGUCUACAUGAUGUGUGUUAUCACUAUAGCUUGAAAGAAGGAGGUAUGAAAAUCCAGCUGUUGGCUGGGCAUGGCGGCUCCUGCCUGUAAUCUCAACACUUUGGGAGGCUGAGGCAGACAGACCACUUGAGGUCAGGAGUUUGAGACCAGCCUGGCCAACAUGGUGAAACGCCAUCUCUACUAAAAAUACAAAAAAAAAAAAAAAAAAAGCUAGGCGUGGUGGUGCAUUCCUGUAAUCCCAGCUACUUGGGAGGCCGAGGCAGGAGGAUUGCUUGAACUGGGAGGCAGAGGUUGCAGUGAGCCAAGAUUGUGCCACUGCAUUGCAGCCUGGGUGUCAGAGUGAGACUCUGUCUCAAUAAAUAAAUUUAAAAAAUUAAAUACAUAUGAAUACAUAAAAAUUAAAUGCAUAAAUACAUAAAAAUAAAAAAAUACAACAACAAAAAAGAAAAUCCAGCUAUUAAGCCAGACAUUGGGGAGUUUUUUUGUUUUGUUUGUUUUGUUUUGAGACAGAGUUUCACUCUUGUUGCCCGGGCUGCAAUGCAGUGGCACCAUCUCAACUCACUGCAACCUCUGCCUCCCG
RNAcentral lists this long non-coding RNA (3196 nucleotides) under Homo sapiens (human). RNAcentral describes it as "HSALNT0380433". The record is from RNAcentral. Lineage: Eukaryota; Metazoa; Chordata; Mammalia; Primates; Hominidae.